This 945-nucleotide ribosomal RNA is filed under the name Fructilactobacillus sanfranciscensis. RNAcentral describes it as "bacterial SSU rRNA". It matches the Rfam family "Bacterial small subunit ribosomal RNA", at positions 75 to 1010 of the family's 1533-position model. Lineage: Bacteria; Bacillati; Bacillota; Bacilli; Lactobacillales; Lactobacillaceae. The record is from RNAcentral.
AUGAUUUUGGAUCCGACUGAGUGGCGAACUGGUGAGUAACACGUGGGUAACCUGCCCAGAAGAAGGGGAUAACACCUGGAAACAGAUGCUAAUACCGUAUAACAACAAGAACCACAUGGUUCUUGUUUGAAAGCUGGCCUUUGUGCUAGUGCUUCUGGAUGGACCCGCGGCGUAUUAGCUAGUUGGUGAGAUAAUAGCUCACCAAGGCAAUGAUACGUAGCAGACCUGAGAGGGUAAUCUGCCACAAUGGGACUGAGACACGGCCCAUACUCCUACGGGAGGCAGCAGUAGGGAAUCUUCCACAAUGGACGAAAGUCUGAUGGAGCAACGCCGCGUGAGUGAAGAAGGGUUUCGGCUCGUAAAACUCUGUUGUUAGAGAAGAACAGCCGUGAGAGCAACUGCUCACGGUAUGACGGUAUCUAACCAGAAAGUCACGGCUAACUACGUGCCAGCAGCCGCGGUAAUACGUAGGUGGCAAACGUUGUCCGGAUUUAUUGGGCGUAAAGGGAGCGCAGGCGGUUUAUUAAGUCUGAUGUGAAAGCCUUCGGCUUAACCGGAGAAGUGCAUCGGAAACUGAUAAACUUGAGUGCAGAAAAGGAUAGUGGAACUUCAUGUGUAGCGGUGAAAUGCGUAGAUAUAUGAAGGAACACCAGUGGCGAAGGCGGCUAUCUGGUCUGUAACUGACGCUGAGGCUCGAAAGCAUGGGUAGCAAACAGGAUUAGAUACCCUGGUAGUCCAUGCCGUAACGAUGAAUGCUAGGUGUUGGAAGGUUUCCGCCUUUCAGUGCCGCAGCUAACGCAUUAAGCAUUCCGCCUGGGGAGUACGACCGCAGGUUGAACUCAAGGAAUUGACGGGACCCGCACAAGCGGUGGAGCAUGUGGUUUAAUUCGAUGCUACGCGAGAACCUUACCAGGACUUGACAUCUUCUGCCAAUCUAGAGAUAGA